AUACGGAGGAUCCGAGCGUUAUCCGGAUUUAUUGGGUUUAAAGGGUGCGCAGGCGGCCAUUUAAGUCAGCGGUUAAAUCGUGGGGCUCAACCCCAUUCUGCCGUUGAUACUGGGUGGCUUGAUUGCGGUCGAGGUUGGCGGAAUUCGUUGUGUAGCGGUGAAAUGCAUAGAUAUGACGAAGAACACCGAUUGCGUAGGCAGCUGACCAGACCGCAAAUGACGCUCGUGCACGAAAGUGCGGGGAUCGAACAGGAUUAGAUACCCUGGUAGUCCGCACAGUAAACGAUGAAUACUUGUUUUCGGCGAUAUAAUGUCGGAGGCAAAGCGAAAGCGAUAAGUAUUCCACCUGGGGAGUACGCCGGCAACGGUGAAACUUAAAGGAAUUGACGGGG
RNAcentral lists this ribosomal RNA (392 nucleotides) under uncultured bacterium. RNAcentral describes it as "partial 16S ribosomal RNA". It matches the Rfam family "Bacterial small subunit ribosomal RNA", at positions 523 to 918 of the family's 1533-position model. The record is from RNAcentral.